This 158-nucleotide ribosomal RNA is filed under the name Brugia malayi. RNAcentral's name for it is "partial 28S ribosomal RNA". It matches the Rfam family "Eukaryotic large subunit ribosomal RNA", at positions 1210 to 1367 of the family's 3401-position model. Lineage: Eukaryota; Metazoa; Nematoda; Chromadorea; Rhabditida; Onchocercidae. The record is from RNAcentral.
CCCCAUGAAAGGCGUUGGUUGAUAUAGACAGCAGGACGGUGGCCAUGGAAGUUGGAAACCGCUAAGGAGUGUGUAACAACUCACCUGCCAAAUCAACUAGCCCUGAAAAUGGAUGGCGCUUGAGCGGGAGACUUAUACUCAACCGUUGCAUGGCUUGC